Molecule: non-coding RNA, 30 nt
Filed under: Rattus norvegicus (Norway rat)
Lineage: Eukaryota; Metazoa; Chordata; Mammalia; Rodentia; Muridae
Source: RNAcentral
UGCAGAAAUUACUAUGACAUUCUGGGUGUU